Molecule: ribosomal RNA, 448 nt
Filed under: Thricops nigritellus
Lineage: Eukaryota; Metazoa; Arthropoda; Insecta; Diptera; Muscidae
Description: partial 16S ribosomal RNA
Rfam family: Bacterial large subunit ribosomal RNA
Source: RNAcentral
UUUAAAUGGCCGCAGUAUAUUAACUGUGCAAAGGUAGCAUAAUCAUUAGUCUUUUAAUUGAAGGCUGGUAUGAAUGGUUGGACGAGAUAUUAACUGUUUCAUAGAAAUUUAUAUUUGAAUUUUAUUUUUUAGUCAAAAAGCUAAAAUUUAUUUAAAAGACGAGAAGACCCUAUAAAUCUUUAUAUUUAAAUUAUUAAUGAUUUUAUAGUAAUAUUUUAUUUUAAUAAUUGAUGAUAUUUUAUUGGGGUGAUAUUAAAAUUUAAUAAACUUUUAAUUAUUUUUAUCAUUAAUUUAUGAAUAAUUGAUCCGUUAUUAACGAUUAAAAAUUUAAGUUACUUUAGGGAUAACAGCGUAAUUUUUUUGGAGAGUUCAUAUCGAUAAAAAAGAUUGCGACCUCGAUGUUGGAUUAAGAGAUAUUUUUAGGUGUAGCCGCUUAAAUUUUAAGUCU